UCAAGUUACAAAGGGUUGACGGCGGAUGCCUUGGCAGAUGACAGCGAUGAAGGACGUGGUAAGCUGCGAAAAGUCUCGGGGAGUUGCACGCGAACGGUGAUCCGGGAAUGUCCGAAUGCGGAAACGCGGCUGGGUGAAAGCCCAGUCAUCUCUCGACUGAAUAAAUAGGUGGAGAGAGGCGAACGUGGGGAAGUGAACCAUCUCAGUACCCACAGGAAGAGAAAACAACAGUGAUUCCGAAAGUAGCGGCGAGCGAAAUCGGAAGAGCCCAAACCUCGUACGUGUAAGCGGCAGGCGUUGCGUACGGGGGGUCGUGGGACCUACAGGUUGGUGCUGCCCACCAACACAGAGUUACCAAAUCGACGGUUAGCGGAACAGUCUGGAAAGGCUGGCGAGACAGGGUGAUAGCCCCGUAUGCGAAAGCCGAUCGAUCUCUGAGUGGAGUUCCCAAGUAUGUCGGGGCACGAGAAACCUUGACAGAAUUUGCCGCGACCAUGCGGUAAGGCUAAAUAUGUUCAUCUGACCGAUAGUGAACCAGUACCGUGAGGGAAAGGCGAAAAGAACCCCGAUGAGGGGAGUGAAAUAGAACCUGAAACCGUCAAUCUACAAGCAGUGGAACCCCUAUGGUUUACCAGGGGAACCGCGUGCCUUUUGCAUAAUGAGCCGGCUAGUUAUUUUCAGUGGCGAGGCGAAGCCGAGGAGGCACAGCCGCAGGGAAACCGAGUCUGAAUAGGGCGUAUAGUCGCUGGAAAUAGACGCGAAACGGGAUGAUCUAUCCUUGAGCAGGAUGAAGGCAGGGUGAAACCUGUUGGAGGUCCGAACCAGUAUGGGUUGAAAACCGUUUGGAUGACUUGAGGAUAGGGGUGAAAGGCCAAUCAAAUUCCGUGAUAGCUGGUUCUCCCCGAAAUAGCUUUAGGGCUAGCGUCGGAUGUUUCGUCGUGCAGGUAGAGACCUGAAUGGACUAGGGGGCACACCCGCUUACCGAAUCCAACCAAUCUUCGAAUGGCACGCCGUGAAGUCCGGCAGUCAGACAGUGGGCGAUAAGGUCCAUUGUCGAGAGGGAAAGAACCCAGAUCGCCAGCUAAGGUCCCAAAAUCUCUGCUAAGUGGAAAAGGAUGUGGAUGUGCUUAGACAGCCAGGAGGUUAGCUUAGAAGCAGCUAUCCUUUAAAGAAAGCGUAAUAGCUCACUGGUCAAGCGGGUCUGUGCCGACAAUUCAACGGGGCUCAAGCAGAGUACCGAAGCUGCGAACGUAAGUGGUAGGGGAGCAUUCCCUAGGCCUGCGAAGGUUGACCGUGAGGACAGCUGGAGGCAUGGGAAGAGACUCUGUCGGCAUAAGUAGCGUAAAGACGGGCGAGAACCCCGUCCACCGUAAGACUAAGGAUUCCAACGCAAGGUCAAUCCGCGUUGGGUUAGUCGGACCCUAAGCUGAGGCCGAGAGGCGUAGGCGAUGGAAAGCUGGUUAAUAUUCCAGCACCAUGAAUACCUCGUUUGUACGAUGCAGGGACGCAGAAAGGUAGUCGCGCAGCUCUAUGGAAUGUGCUGUGAAAUCUUUCAAGGGUGAGACUUAGGGAAGUCCGGGUCUCAUGAGCCCAAGAAUUAUGACGAAAGGCGAUGAUCCUACGCUGCCGAGAAAAGCUGCUAAGGAGAGGUAUUUGUGUCCGUACCGCAAACCGACACAGGUAGUCGAGGAGAGAAUCCUCAGGUGUUUGAGUGAAGUGUGCUGAAGGAACUCGGCAAAUUAACCCCGUAACUUCGGGAGAAGGGGUACCACGGUAGGGUUCAUAGCCCGAGGUGGUGGCACAUAAAUGUCCCAGGCGACUGUUUAACAAAAACACAGGUCUCUGCAAACUCCAAAGAGGAGGUAUAGGGGCUGACGCCUGCCCGGUGCCGGAAGGUCAAGAGGAGCGGUUAGCGCAAGCGAAGCUGCGAAUUUAAGCCCCGGUGAACGGCGGCCGUAACUAUAACGGUCCUAAGGUAGCGAAAUUCCUUGUCGGG
RNAcentral lists this ribosomal RNA (1996 nucleotides) under wastewater metagenome. RNAcentral describes it as "bacterial LSU rRNA". It matches the Rfam family "Bacterial large subunit ribosomal RNA", at positions 3 to 1976 of the family's 2925-position model. The record is from RNAcentral.